This 372-nucleotide ribosomal RNA is filed under the name uncultured bacterium. Its description in RNAcentral is "bacterial SSU rRNA". It matches the Rfam family "Bacterial small subunit ribosomal RNA", at positions 527 to 896 of the family's 1533-position model. The record is from RNAcentral.
GUAGGGUGCAAGCGUUGUCCGGAAUUGUUGGGCGUAAAGAGCUCGUAGGCGGUUUGUUGCGUCGGCUGUGAAAUCCCGAGGCUCAACCUCGGGUCUGCAGUCGAUACGAGCAAACUAGAGUGUUGCAGGGGAGACUGGAAUUCCUGGUGUAGCGGUGAAAUGCGCAGAUAUCAGGAGGAACACCGGUGGCGAAGGCGGGUCUCUGGGCAACAACUGACGCUGAGGGGCGAAAGCGUGGGGAGCGAACAGGAUUAGAUACCCUGGUAGUCCACGCCGUAAACGUUGGGCGCUAGGUGUGGGGCUCACUCCACGAGUUCCGUGCCGCAGCUAACGCAUUAAGCGCCCCGCCUGGGGAGUACGGCCGCAAGGCUA